CGCGCUCCAGCCGCGGCCAAUCCCGGUGCCGGCGCGCCCUCUGCCGGCCGCUCCCGGAGGCGCCGGCUUCCUCGCAGUCCGGGACACCUGUUCCCCGGUCCGCCCCACCCUGCGGCCCUUCCCUAGGCGACGGUUCUGUCUCAACGCGGACAGAAAAGGGGGGGAAAGUGAGAAUCACGAGGCAAGGCCGGGAAGGAUGCAGAAAUGACCGCCCUCCCACGGGCUGUUUAGGACCGAGGAACCUACGUUGCAGUCUUAAUCCCCACACCUGUGAAUUGCAACCGUGUUUGGAAAUAGGGUUGGCAGGCGUGAUCAAGUUCAGGGGGUGUCACUAGGGUGGCCCCUCACCCAGUGUGACUGGAAACUUCCAUGUAGAGGCAGCCGCGGAGGGAGGGUGCACCAUGAGGACGGGCCAACGCCCUGGUGCCACAAGCUGCAAGGAGCACCUGGGGCCAUCAGCAGCUGGAAGACGGAAGUGGCUUCUUCGGAGAGAGGACAGCCUUGCUGACAUCUGGAUUUCAGACUUCCCUCCUACAGAACCAACAUUGGUGCCCUCCGAAUGAUGACCCUCUGAGAAAGAAAUGAGAAAACAAUGAGCUGAAUCACAGGACAGCCUCCAAAGCCAUGGAAAGUCUACAGCAGGGUCUCUGGAGAGUUCUACCCGAAUGUCUGAAUUUUGAUCUUGGGGAUUGGGUGUAAUCCCAGAAGGUGGGAAAGAAAUGUGACUUGCCAUUAAGGUACGAUCUGAUCAAUUGUAUUCAAAUCAGUUCUCAAGAGAGACACUUGUUUUUAAAAAAGAUGU
Long non-coding RNA from Mustela lutreola (European mink), 802 nucleotides. RefSeq lists it as uncharacterized. The transcript has 3 exons. The record is from RefSeq and is a predicted model, not a curated record. Lineage: Eukaryota; Metazoa; Chordata; Mammalia; Carnivora; Mustelidae.